This is a long non-coding RNA of Mus musculus (house mouse), 1086 nucleotides long. RefSeq annotates it as predicted gene, 54055. The transcript has 4 exons. NCBI's taxonomy places the organism in Eukaryota, Metazoa, Chordata, Mammalia, Rodentia, Muridae. The record is from RefSeq and is a predicted model, not a curated record.
CUCAGCUUGCUUUCUGUCAGCUCAUUUACUCCAGAGGAAGUUGGUGCCAUGUUGGGAAGAUGGUUUCACAGCUCCGUGAAGAGAUUCAUGCGAUCAGGAACGACAAAUAGCAACAGGCUAGGGAGCAAGCUAUGAAGAGAACAUAGUAGCCUCCGACUAUGGAGCUGCCCAACUGUCAUGUGACCAUCACCUCAAGAGACCUAAGCUCACAGAAAGAGGCCAAAUGCAUAAGAGACCUGCAUUCCCUGGUUCUCUAUUGAAAAGUGAGGAGCCUGGAGCUCCAAGGCUGUGUGCAGGUGAAACUUGGACCAUGGAGAACCAGUGCUGAGUCAGCUGUGUUCACUCAGAGACUCUUGCUGGACUGAUCCCUGAAUUGGCUGGCCCUUCACUCAACCAUAGUUUCCUGGAGAGACAAGAGACAGUCAUCUACCUAGUGACUUUCAACAGCUGAAACAUGAUAAAACAGACUUAAGUGAAAAAAAUCUCACCAAGUUUUAGCAUGAAACACUAGAAAGAAGGCUGGGGGAAAUGGUUCAGUAGGUAAAGUGUUUGAGUCCCCAGAACCCCUCUACAGCUGGACACCUUGGUGUUCAUCUGGUAACCCAGCGUUCCUAUGAUAAAACAUAAAAGAGGUAAGGACAACCCUCAGACACUCCUUGGCCAGUUAGUCUGGGAUAUGCAGAAACAGACAACAAAGAGACCUUGUCUCAAACAAGGUGGAAAAGAGGGACUGACACCCAAGGCUGUUCGCUGAGCAUCACAAAGGCACAGUGGUGUGUACAUAUGUUUUCUGGUCUUUUUCUCUCUCCAUCCCCUCACAGCCUGUUUUUUGUAAAAGGGACAAAUGUUCUUUAUCUGUCACAGGAAUUGGCCACAACCUUAAUACACCUGUGAUAACCUUAACUAUUCUGUCUAAUUGAAUCUUCAGAGAUUGUCUCUACAGCAUUGUUUAGAUCACAGAACUGAAAACCGAAUCCACUGAUACAAGACUAAGUAAAUUAUGGUUUAUGCCAUUUAAUGAUCACAGAAAGGUUUCAGCAAGAAGCAUACAUUUUCCUGUUGCCAUGUUUAAAAAAAAUAGGCUAC